Molecule: ribosomal RNA, 468 nt
Filed under: uncultured bacterium
Lineage: Bacteria
Description: partial 16S ribosomal RNA
Rfam family: Bacterial small subunit ribosomal RNA
Source: RNAcentral
GACGAACGCUGGCGGCGUGCUUAACACAUGCAAGUCGAACGGAAAGGCCCUGCUUUUGUGGGGUGCUCGAGUGGCGAACGGGUGAGUAACACGUGAGUAACCUGUACUUGACUUUGGGAUAACUUCAGGAAACUGGGGCUAAUACCGGAUAGGAGCUCUUGCUGCAUGGUGGGGGUUGGAAAGUUUCGGCGGUUGGGGAUGGACUCGCGGCUUAUCGGCUUGAUGGUGGGGUAGUGGCUUACCAAGGCUUUGACGGGUAGCCGGCCUGAGAGGGGGACCGGCCACACUGGGACUGAGAUACGGCCCAGACUCGUAUGGGAGGCAGCGGUGGGGAAGAUUGCACAAUGGGCGGAAGCCUGAUGCAGCAACGCCGCGUGCGGGAUGACGGGCUGCGGGUUGUAAACCGCUUUCGCCUGUGACGAAGCGUGAGUGACGGUAACGGGUAAAGAAGCACCGGCUAACUACGUG